CCGAAAUCUAGCUUUUAAAGAAAAAUAAGAAGCUCUAACUUGCUAUUCUAAACAAAGACGCUCUAGGUAACUAAUCCAAACAAAUCUCCAAAUAAUUAAGAAGAGAGUAAAUAACAAAAAAUUUAUUUCCUCCUAAUUGAUAAAAGUCUGAAAUUAAAAGAUUAAACAAUGGAAUGUGACCAAAAUAUCGAUGGUCUUCGUUUAGAUGGUAGUCCUUGUGAGAGUAAUAUGCAUACAAAUAGGUCCAUUUUAUUACUUGUAGUAAUGAUCCGUACAUUUGUGGGAUAUAAAAUCGACAAUAAUACUCAAAUCAAAAUUGAUAAAGUUGAAUAUAUUAACUCGGUUAAUCGUUCGAAAUGGAUGAAGAAUUUUCUUUUUCUAAACAAAAAUGAGCCACCAUGUUGAACUCAUGGACCAAAGUCCUAGACCAUCG
RNAcentral lists this long non-coding RNA (433 nucleotides) under Olea europaea subsp. europaea. The record is from RNAcentral. Lineage: Eukaryota; Viridiplantae; Streptophyta; Magnoliopsida; Lamiales; Oleaceae.